RNAcentral lists this ribosomal RNA (501 nucleotides) under uncultured bacterium. Its description in RNAcentral is "partial 16S ribosomal RNA". It matches the Rfam family "Bacterial small subunit ribosomal RNA", at positions 30 to 523 of the family's 1533-position model. The record is from RNAcentral.
AUUGAACGCUGGCGGCAGGCUUAACACAUGCGAGUCGAGCGGGGGAAGGUAGCUUGCUACUGGACCUAGCGGCGGACGGGUGAGUAAUGCUUAGGAAUCUGCCUAUUAGUGGGGGACAACAUCUCGAAAGGGAUGCUAAUACCGCAUACGUCCUACGGGAGAAAGCAGGGGAUCUUCGGACCUUGCGCUAAUAGAUGAGCCUAAGUCGGAGUAGCUAGUUGGUGGGGUAAAGGCCUACCAAGGCGACGAUCUGUAGCGGGUCUGAGAGGAUGAUCCGCCCCACUGGGACUGAGAGACUGCCCAGACUCGUACGGGAGGCAGCAGUGGGGAAUAUUGGACAAUGGGGGGAACCCUGAUCCAGCCAUGCCGCGUGUGUGAAGAAGGCCUUAUGGUUGUAAAGCACUUUAAGCGAGGAGGAGGCUACUUUAGUUAAUACCUAGAGAUAGUGGACGUUACUCGCAGAAUAAGCACCGGCUAACUCUGUGCCAGCCGCCGCAGUAA